GUGCCAGCAGCCGCGGUAAUACAGAGGUGGCGAACGUUGUUCGGAUUUACUGGGCGUAAAGGGUCCGUAGGCGGCUUGGUGUGUCGGAUGUGAAAGCUCACAGCUCAACUGUGGAAUUGCAUUCGAAACUGCCGGGCUAGAGUACUGGAGGGGAGAAGGGAACACUUGGUGUAGCGGUGAAAUGCGUAGAUAUCAAGUGGAACACCGGAGGCGAAGGCGCUUCUCUGGACAGAUACUGACGCUCAUGGACGAAAGUUAGGGUAGCGAAAGGGAUUAAAUACCCCUGUAGUCCUAACCGUAAACGGUGUGCACUAGACGUGGGUGGAUUUACCCCCAUCCGUGUCUGAGCUAACGCGUUAAGUGCACCGCCUGGGGAGUACGGCCGCAAGGUUGAAACUCAAAGGAAUUGGCGG
Molecule: ribosomal RNA, 413 nt
Filed under: uncultured bacterium
Lineage: Bacteria
Description: bacterial SSU rRNA
Rfam family: Bacterial small subunit ribosomal RNA
Source: RNAcentral